AGGGUUUGAUUCUGGCUCAGAACGUACGCUGGCGGCACGCCUAACACAUGCAAGUCGAACGAAGUAGCAAUACUUAGUGGCAGACGGGUGAGUAACAUGUAGGUAUCUUCCCUUUGGCCUGGAAUAACACGAGGAAACUUGUGCUAAUACCGGAUAAGUCUUUACGGAGAAAGCUUUAUGCACCAUUGGAUGAGCCUGCACUUGAUUAGUUUGUUGGUAGGGUAAUGGCCUACCAAGACUAUGAUCAAUAGCUGAUUUGAGAGGAUGAUCAGCCACAUUGGGACUGAGACACGGCCCAAACUCCUACGGGAGGCAGCAGUGGGGAAUAUUGCACAAUGGAGGAAACUCUGAUGCAGCGAUGCCGCGUGAGUGAAGAAGGCCCUUGGGUUGUAAAGCUCUUUCGUCGGGGAAGAAAAUGACUGUACCCGAAUAAGAAGGUCCGGCUAACUUCGUGCCAGCAGCCGCGGUAAUACGAAGGGACCUAGCGUAGUUCGGAAUUACUGGGCUUAAAGAGUUCGUAGGUGGUUGAAAAAGUUGGUGGUGAAAUCCCAGAGCUUAACUCUGGAACUGCCAUCAAAACUUUUCAGCUAGAGUAUGAUAGAGGAAAGCAGAAUUUCUAGUGUAGAGGUGAAAUUCGUAGAUAUUAGAAAGAAUACCAAUUGCGAAGGCAGCUUUCUGGAUCAUUACUGACACCGAGGAACGAAAGCAUGGGUAGCGAAGAGGAUUAGAUACCCUCGUAGUCCAUGCCGUAAACGAUGUGUGUUAGACGUUGGAAAUUUAUUUUCAGUGUCGCAGCGAAAGCGAUAAACACACCGCCUGGGGAGUACGACCGCAAGGUUAAAACUCAAAUGAAUUGACGGGGACCCGCACAAGUAGUGGAGCAUGUGGUUUAAUUCGAAGAUACGCGCAGAACCUUACCAACACUUGACAUGUUCGUCGCGACUUUAAGAGAUUAAAGUUUUCGGUUCGGCCGGACGAAACACAGGUGCUGCAUGGCUGUCGUCAGCUCGUGUCGUGAGAUGUUGGGUUAAGUCCCGCAACGAGCGCAACCCUCACUUUUAGUUGCCAUCAUUAAGUUGGGCACUCUGAAAGAACUGCCAGUGAUAAGCUGGAGGAAGGUGGGGAUGACGUCAAGUCCUCAUGGCCCUUACGUGUUGGGCUACACACGUGCUACAAUGGUAUCUACAACAGGAAGCAAGACGGCGACGUUAAGCAAAUCCUUAAAAGAUACCUCAGUUCGGAUUGCACUCUGCAACUCGAGUGCAUGAAGCUGGAAUUACUAGUAAUCGUGGAUCAGCGUGCCACGGUGAAUGCGUUCCCGGGUCUUGUACACACCGCCCGUCACACCAUGGGAGUUGGUUCUACCUUAAGGCAAGGUUUAAAACCCUUGACCACGGUAUAGUCAGCGACUGGGGUGAAGUCGUAACAAGGGAGCC
Molecule: ribosomal RNA, 1436 nt
Filed under: uncultured marine microorganism
Description: bacterial SSU rRNA
Rfam family: Bacterial small subunit ribosomal RNA
Source: RNAcentral